AGCGAACGCUGGCGGCAGGCCUAACACACGCAAGUCGAACGAACUCUUCGGAGUUAGUGGCGGACGGGUGAGUAACACGUGGGAACGUGCCUUUAGGUUCGGAAUAACUCAGGGAAACUUGUGCUACUACCGAAUGUGCCCUUCGGGGGAAAGAUUUAUCGCCUUUAGAGCGGCCCGCGUCUGAUUAGCUAGUUGGUGAGGUAAAGGCUCACCAAGGCGACGAUCAGUAGCUGGUCUGAGAGGAUGAUCAGCCACAUUGGGACUGAGACACGGCCCAAACUCCUACGGGAGGCAGCAGUGGGGAAUCUUGCGCAAUGGGCGAAAGCCUGACGCAGCCAUGACGCGUGAAUGAUGAAGGUCUUAGGAUUGUAAAAUUCUUUCACCGGGGACGAUAAUGACGGUACCCGGAGAAGAAGCCCCGGCUAACUUCGUGCCAGCAGCCGCCGUAA
Molecule: ribosomal RNA, 449 nt
Filed under: uncultured bacterium
Lineage: Bacteria
Description: partial 16S ribosomal RNA
Rfam family: Bacterial small subunit ribosomal RNA
Source: RNAcentral